CACCGCCCGUCACACCAUGGGAGUUGGUUUGACCUGAAGACGGUGCGCUAACCGCAAGGAGGCAGCUGGCCACGGUCAGGUCAGCGACUGGGGUG
RNAcentral lists this ribosomal RNA (95 nucleotides) under uncultured bacterium. RNAcentral describes it as "partial 16S ribosomal RNA". It matches the Rfam family "Bacterial small subunit ribosomal RNA", at positions 1388 to 1482 of the family's 1533-position model. The record is from RNAcentral.